GAUGAACGCUGGCGGCGUGCCUAAUACAUGCAAGUCGAGCGAACAGACGAGGAGCUUGCUCCUUUGACGUUAGCGGCGGACGGGUGAGUAACACGUAGGUAACCUACCUAUAAGACUGGGAUAACUUCGGGAAACCGGAGCUAAUACCGGAUAAUAUUUCGAACCGCAUGGUUCGAUAGUGAAAGAUAGCUUUGCUAUCACUUAUAGAUGGACCUGCGCCGUAUUAGCUAGUUGGUAAGGUAACGGCUUACCAAGGCAACGAUACGUAGCCGACCUGAGAGGGUGAUCGGCCACACUGGAACUGAGACACGGUCCAGACUCCUACGGGAGGCAGCAGUAGGGAAUCUUCCGCAAUGGGCGAAAGCCUGACGGAGCAACGCCGCGUGAGUGAUGAAGGUCUUCGGGUCGUAAAACUCUGUUAUUAGGGAAGAACAAACGUGUAAGUAACUGUGCACGUCUUGACGGUACCUAAUCAGAAAGCCACGGCUAACUACGUG
RNAcentral lists this ribosomal RNA (497 nucleotides) under uncultured bacterium. RNAcentral describes it as "partial 16S ribosomal RNA". It matches the Rfam family "Bacterial small subunit ribosomal RNA", at positions 28 to 507 of the family's 1533-position model. The record is from RNAcentral.